This 324-nucleotide ribosomal RNA is filed under the name Enterobacter cloacae. RNAcentral's name for it is "partial 23S ribosomal RNA". It matches the Rfam family "Bacterial large subunit ribosomal RNA", at positions 1569 to 1875 of the family's 2925-position model. The record is from RNAcentral. RNAcentral also lists the same sequence under 2 other names. Lineage: Bacteria; Pseudomonadati; Pseudomonadota; Gammaproteobacteria; Enterobacterales; Enterobacteriaceae.
ACGAGGCACUACGGUGCUGAAGUAACAAAUGCCCUGCUUCCAGGAAAAGCCUCUAAGCAUCAGGUAACACGAAAUCGUACCCCAAACCGACACAGGUGGUCAGGUAGAGAAUACCAAGGCGCUUGAGAGAACUCGGGUGAAGGAACUAGGCAAAAUGGUGCCGUAACUUCGGGAGAAGGCACGCUGAUAUGUAGGUGAAGCCCCUGCGGGUGGAGCUGAAAUCAGUCGAAGAUACCAGCUGGCUGCAACUGUUUAUUAAAAACACAGCACUGUGCAAACACGAAAGUGGACGUAUACGGUGUGACGCCUGCCCGGUGCCGGAAG